Dendronephthya gigantea is the source of this 504-nucleotide long non-coding RNA. RefSeq lists it as uncharacterized. Lineage: Eukaryota; Metazoa; Cnidaria; Anthozoa; Malacalcyonacea; Nephtheidae. The transcript has 3 exons. The record is from RefSeq and is a predicted model, not a curated record.
CAGACUUCGCCAUUCUUCCAACAAAGAACCAAAUUUGUGCAAUGAAAGUGGUGCUGUUUGGCGCUACUUACGACACUGUUGGAACUAGUGAAUUACCUGAUGGGCUCCUAGAUGCACAAGUAAACCUAGUUUCUGUGUUGGUAUGGGGUAUUCGGGAAAUGCGAUUGCAUCAAGUAGAUGGCAGUGGCAACGACCGAACGCUACAUUUCAAUUUCAAACUGGAUGUAGACCUUUUUGGGGUAAAGAACUGAUAUCGUUCGGUGUGGUAUGCAUGCAGAUGAAGCUGGAGUCACAUCUCGCAAAAGACAAAUGUCCAUUUUUGCAUUUUGAUUCUGAAAUGAAUAUUCAAGAAGAGCUCCUUUCUUUUUUACAGCGCAAAUGGGCUUCGAGUGAAGAAGUAUUGAUUACACAAGUUAAUCUUAGAUGCCUUACAAACAAGUGUCUAUUGUGAAUGUGGAGCGAAAGGUGAAUGAGUCACGGCCUGCACUGGUGCACUUAACCGGG